GAGGAUUGCCAAUAAUUGUCUCUUUGAGGGACGAUUUUCCCCGAUGAGGGCGACUACGGUAUAGAACUUGUCAUACCUCCGCUCUAUCUACUUUGACGUCGGUUAAAACACCCACCAUCCUCCUCGCCUGCCUUUGAUUUGAUUACUGCUAAGCUGAAAUACCCUAUUUCCUGCUCAAAACCUUCACGAAGUUGGACGGACGAGGGAGCGGAUCACCGAGGGGUUCGCGCUCUGCAUCGAUUUACCCUUGCGACAGGCUCGCGCUGGGGUCUAUUAUCUAAUUUGGAAAGCCCGUCAUAAAUGGAGCUACGGUAAACGGCGAGGCGAAUGCGUGCGUCGUGCCCAGUUGACAUUUCCACCUAAUCAAGAUCGUAAAUCCGUACGACGCUGUCACUCGGAAACACUCUCCUCUUUUGAAGGUUUUCAAGAAAAAGAGAGUUGGUUUGUUUUCAUCUUUCAAGAGGGGUUUGGCUUUCGUCUUCAUCACGUGGGAAAUUAAACGGAAUGCAACCGGAGAAGUGCAGGGUGCAGAUUAUCGAC
This is a long non-coding RNA of Strongylocentrotus purpuratus (purple sea urchin), 540 nucleotides long. RefSeq lists it as uncharacterized. The record is from RefSeq and is a predicted model, not a curated record. NCBI's taxonomy places the organism in Eukaryota, Metazoa, Echinodermata, Echinoidea, Camarodonta, Strongylocentrotidae. The transcript is spliced from 2 exons.